GCCGGGGUGGCGAAAUUGGUAUACGCAGCGGAUUCAAAAUCCGCCGGUGGAAACACCUUGACGGUUCGAGUCCGUCCCUCGGCA
Molecule: transfer RNA, 84 nt
Filed under: Solemya velesiana gill symbiont
Lineage: Bacteria; Pseudomonadati; Pseudomonadota; Gammaproteobacteria
Rfam family: tRNA
About the family: Transfer RNA (tRNA) molecules are approximately 80 nucleotides in length. Their secondary structure includes four short double-helical elements and three loops (D, anti-codon, and T loops). Further hydrogen bonds mediate the characteristic L-shaped molecular structure. tRNAs have two regions of fundamental functional importance: the anti-codon, which is responsible for specific mRNA codon recognition, and the 3' end, to which the tRNAs corresponding amino acid is attached (by aminoacyl-tRNA synthetases). tRNAs cope with the degeneracy of the genetic code in two manners: having more than one tRNA (with a specific anti-codon) for a particular amino acid; and 'wobble' base-pairing, i.e. permitting non-standard base-pairing at the 3rd anti-codon position.
Source: Rfam by way of RNAcentral